CCUUCCAGUGCAAUACAUGUUGUUAAGGGAUACUAUUCACAAAUAAUUAUAUGUUAAUCAUAAAUCUGUUUAUUUUGAAAUAACUAGAAAACUAUAUGUUUAAUUAAUCAGUCUUUUCCUCGUGGCCUAUUUAAAAGCAUCAUGGUAAUUUGAUGCUAUUUUGCUAGGAUGUGAUGCUAUCUGAAAAGAUUUUCUGAUAUAUUGUGCUCUGGGUGUGAUGCAAUUAUUUCUAAAAACAGUGUUAUAGAUGUGAUAUAUAGAUUCCAUCACUGCAACAAGUCAGUGUGAUACGAUAUAUCUCCAUCUGAUACAGUUAAAUCUU
This 322-nucleotide long non-coding RNA is filed under the name Mytilus galloprovincialis (Mediterranean mussel). The record is from RNAcentral. Lineage: Eukaryota; Metazoa; Mollusca; Bivalvia; Mytilida; Mytilidae.